UUUUUUUUUUUUUUUUUUUUUGUCUUUUUGCUAUUUCUUUGGGCCGCUCCCGUGGCGUAUGGAGUUUCCCAGGCUAGGGGUCGAAUCGGAACUGUAGCCCCCGGCCUACACCAGAGCCACAGCAACUCAGGAUCCGAGCCGCAUCUGCUACACCACAGCUCACAGCAACGCCGGAUCGUUAACCCACUGAGCAAGGGCAGGGACCGAACCCGCAACCUCAUGGUUCCUAGUCGGAUUAGUUAACCACUGCGCCAUGACGGGAACUCCUGCACUUGAAUUUUUAAAAUAAUGUGAUUUUUGAUCAUGUAUCCUUGUAAAAAACCAAAACACAAAGCAAUAUUGUUUAAAUGUUUUUUUUCUUCUACAGUCAGUACCAUAUAAUCUUGGUUUUGCAGAUGAGACAAUUGAGUGACUGAAGGGUGAAGGAAGAGUAUUCAAACUCACACAGUUUGUAAGUGACAGAACUAGUGGUAGGACUUGGUCUCUAAAGCCCACAUUCUGAACCAGUAUACCUAGGAAGAAGAAAAAAGACAUUUUUUGAAUUAUCUCAGCCCACAGUGGUUAACGUUAGGCUGGGUUCAUAUCUCUUUGUGUGGAAAUUAGACUUCAGGAGUCAUUCUAGUGUGCACUUGAGUUUUAAGAAAAACAGAAAGGGAAAGAUUAUAAAAACAAAAUGCAUUGUAUGGAUAUUUCACAAUAUUUUUAUCUGUUGUGGAGAUUUCAGUUUUUUCCAGUUUUGUGACUGAAUAUUGAAUAAUGGAGCCAUGAACUUUCUUGGAUGGAUUUUUUUUUUUUUCAUUUCUUGGGCAUGUACCUAGGAGUGGCAUUUCUGAGUAGGUGUAUGUUCAGUUCAGUAGAUACUUCCAAUGAAUUUUUUAAAGUAGCUGUUCCAAUCUAUAUUCAUCACCAGCAGAUUAUAAAAGUUCUAUUUGCUCUUUGUCCUUGCCAACACUUGGUAUUUUCCACCUUUUUCUUUCUUUUUUUAAACUACUUUAUUUUUAUUUUUAUUUUUAUUUAUUUAUUUUUUGUCUUUUGUCUUUUUAGGGCCAUACCCAUGGCAUAUGGAGGUUACCAGGCUAGGGGUCAAAUCGGAGCUAUAGCCGCUGGCCUACACCACAGCCACAGCAAUGGCAGAUCUGAGCCACGCCUGCAACUUACACCAUAGUUCAUGGCAAUGCCAGAUCCUUAACCCACUGAGGAAGGCCAGGGAUUGAACCUGCAACCUCAUGGUUCCUAGUUGCAUUCGUUUCCACUGUACCACAAUAGGAACUCUACCUUUUUCAUUCUUGUUCUUCUAGUCCAUGUGUGGUAGUAUCUCAUGUGAUUUUAAUUUUAAUAUAUCUGAAAUGUCUCUUUUUUAUCUAAAUAAUGUCUAGUCUCUCUUUGUUUAACCUUCUAAUUUAUUUGCUUAAGAAACUAUAACUUUUUCUUGUGGAGUUUGCUCUCUGUAUUUUGCUGAUUGUAUUACUAUUGUGUUAUUUAUUAUGUUCCACUGGCCCCCUCCUAUUUCCUUUAAAUUGAUAAGUAGAUUUAGAGGCUUGAUCAGAUUCAGGUUUUUUUGGCAAGAAUACCUCAAAUGUGGUGUUGUACUUCCUGUAGCCUUACACCUGGGGGCUCGUCUUGUCUGGUUGUCUCUCCUGUGUUUUUGAGAUUGAUUACUGGGUCUCAGGUGUUGUCAGACUGAUUCAUCCAUCUUCAGAUUUCCCAUCUGCACUUCAUCACAUAUUUUUUGCAGCCUCUGAAGAUUGUUGCCUAGAUCUCAAUUUCAUUAAAGAUGCAGAAAGGUGAUGUUUUAAUUCUAUUCUUUCUUCUGCAUUUAUUAGCUGGAAUUCUUCUAUAAAGUAACUGUGAGGUUACAUUGAGGUAUGGUACACACAGGAAGGGUAGGAAGAAUGUAUGUAUAAUUCUUUUGCAUUAUUUCCACUUUUCAGAAUAAUGAGUUCUUUCCCUGGGAUCCACCGAAGGUGAGCCAUGAGUUGUUUAAGCUGCCAUAAUGAGCUCCUAGAUGCUUAUAUAUUUGAUGUGGUUUAACCCAUUGUAGUCAUUAAUCUUUUUGAUGUUCAAAUUGUUCUCUUUGUCCAGUGGGAGCCUCUUCAGGUUGGCAUGAGCCUUUUUGAUGUGCUUUUUGCAAUGAGAGUUUGGUCUCAACUCAUGUGGUACAAUCCCUACCCAGACCUAGAAGGAAGACUGCCUGGUUCCUUGUAGUGGGGAAUGUUUUCAGAGGAUUCAAUCUGGGGACUAGAGUUGACCAUUGCUACUGGAUUGGUUAUUGUUUCUUGACCUUUUUAGUGCAAGGAUCCUGGAAAUAUUUAUUAUAUUUGUAGGAGAAUAUACAUCAUUGCCUUGCAUCAUGGGCUGCUCCUCUAUCUGCUUAGAGGUAAUUAUUUUCGUCCAUUUUGGUUUUAACUUUCCAUAUUUUAUUAUUAUUUUUUCCAUUUAAUUUUUUUAAUUUUUUUAAUUUUUAUAUUCCCCAAUACAAUUUUUUUCUACUGUACAGCAUGGUGACCCAGUUACACAUACAUGUGUACAUUCUUUUUUCUCCCAUUAUCAUGCUCCAUCAUAAGUGACUAGACAUGGUUCUUAGUGCUACACAGCAGAAUCUGUGUAAAGGAAUCUGUUUAUUUCUACACAGCAAAGGAGACCAAAAAGAAAACAAAAAGACAACUUACAGAAUGGGAGAAUAUAGUUUCAAAUGAUGCAACGGACAAGGGCUUAAUCUCUAAAUUAUAUGAGAACUUAUACAACUCAAUGGCAAAAAAGCCAACAACCCAAUGGAAAAAUUGGCAGAAGACCUGAAUAGACAUUUCUCCAAGGAAGAUAUACAGAUGGCCAACAAGCACAUGAAAAAAUGCUCAACAUCCAUGAUUAUUAGAGAAUUGCAAAUCAAAACUAUCAUGAGAUACCACCUCACACCAGUCAGAAUGGCCAUCAUUAAUAAGUCCACAAAUAACAAAUGCUGGAGCAGGUGUGGAGAAAAGGGAAACUUCCUGUACUGUUGGUGGGAAUGUAAGCUGGUACAACCACUAUGGAGAACAGUAUGGAGGUACCUUAGAAAACUAUACAUAGACUACCAUAUGAUCCAGCAACUCCACUCUUGGGCAUAUAUCCAGACAAAACUUUCCUUAAUUUUCAAUAUUUUAAACAUAUAAGCAAAUGAAAUAUGUAUAUUAGUCUCCUUUCCUAUUCACAUGUGAAAGGUGGCACAUUCUUCAUCAGCACUGUCCCAUAGAAAUUUCUGCAGAAGUGAGAAUGUCCUAUAUCUGAACUAACAUUGUAGCCACGAAGCAACAAGUGGCUGCUGAGCACCUAGAAUAUGGCCAGUUCAACUGAAUAACUGAAUUCUCAAUUUCAUUUAUUUUUUAAAUUAAAAUUUUAUAGUUGUUUGUGGCUAGUGGCUACCAUAUUAGAUAGCAGCAGCUCUACACAUGUUUUCUGCACCUUGCUUUUUUCACUUAGAAAUAUAUCCUGGUGAUCACUCCAUAACAAUCUAGAGAGGGAGUCCUCAUUGCUUUUUAUGGCUGCCUAGUAGUCUCCAAUGUAAAUUACUCACCCAGCCCCCUAUUGGUGGACAUUUGUCUUGUUGCUACUCUUCUGUUGUUAUGGAUGUUAUGGAUGUUAUCUAUGAGGGAUGGCCUUAUGCUUAUUAUGACUUCUUGUAUUUUUACAUUGUUUUGGGGGGAUAAAUUCUUAAAAGAAAGAUUUCUGGCUUCAAGAGUAAAUACCUAUGUAAUUUUACUGAAUAGUAUCAAAUCGCUUCUAUAGGGCAGUGUCAUUUUACAUUACCACCAGCAAUAUAUGAGAAUGUUUAUUUCUUCACAGACUAUCUCAUUCGUAAGAAGAGGUAUCUCAUUUUAGUUAUUUUCCUUUACAUUGCUUAUCAUGAGUUAGGUUGAGCAUUUUUCUUGUGUUUAAAGAUUUUUUCUUUUCUUUUUUCUUUUUUUUUUUUUUUUUUUUUUUUUGCUGUUGAGUCUACAUCUUUUUGGUGAAAUACCUGCCUGUAUUUAUUGCUCCUUUUUUUCUCUCAUCUUGUUGGUUUUUGCAUUCAUUUUUUCAUAAAAUUUCUACAUAUUAAGGAUAUAAUUAUUUGUGAUCUAAAUUGUAAAUAUUUUUUUCAAUUUUUAAUUUUUUUUUUAUUUCGCUUAUGGUUUUUUUCUCACUCAACUUUUCUAUGAAAAAUAAUUCAUACCUAUCACUUUUUGCCCUUUUAAGUUAUAGUUAAACAAGUUUUCUCUACUACCAGGCUAUAGAGGAAAUUCUCUAGGGGUGUACUUUGAUAGGCGGGAGAUAGAGGAGAGAAUUUGGAUCAUAUUGGGGUGCUGGGCAUAAGGGGAAUGCUGAGAGGAGGUGUCCAUCAUGUGAGAAAUCUACAAGAACUGUUUCACUAAAUCAGGAGAAUUAGAUGUUCAGAUUAGGGUCCCGGUCCUGUGCUUGUAUUUGAGAACUUGGUCUCUACUCUUCUGUCUCCAAUGGAACUUAGUCCAGGUCUGCUCACUGGUAUAGAAAAUCUUACUUGAAGCAGAAAUUCCAUGUCACCUCACGUGAACCUCUCAGAUGACUAAAUGGAAGGGAACACUCUCUUACAGAUAAAACACACAUAAAAACCAGUUCUAAGAUCUACCGCCAGACCUAGCCAAGGAGUAAAGAGAAAAUAAAACCCUAGUUCAUGCCCAUGAGGAAAACCAAGACUAAAAUCGCAUAAGGGUUACUGCAUCCUUCACUCUUUAUCUGAGAGAUCCUAUCAGAAGGUAGUAGCCCAUUAGUACUAUGCAAAAUAACAGACAUAGAUUAUAAAAUGCCUCGGUUUCCCAAGGUGGUACACUUUCCCCACUCAACUGCAUCAUUUCCAGUUUAGAUACUGGGUUUCCAGGACUCGGGAUGAAGCUUGGACUACACUUGCAUAGAGUGAAGUCUGUUUUGGGAAGAAGAAGUAGUACAGAAGAGAAAGAAUAAUAACGGGUCAGCUAGACAGAAGAUGGGAGUCAUCAAACAUGUGUCCCAGUAGCCAGACCUAUCAACUGAGCACAGGACCUUGGGAACUGGAGUCACGCAGGCAUUUUUCCUUCAAGUUUCACCUCAUCCACUUCUGAAGGAGCAUUAUCUGUGCCACUGCCGCAUUUUUACAAAAUCUCGUGGGGAUUACUACAUACAUAGGAAUUGAGAAUGGCCGCAAGGAAGAGUGACCUUCAUAGACAAUCCUGUAAGUAUCCCCAGAUUGCCCAUGUGGGUGUUUCAUUAGGAGCAUUGUUUUUAACAGGGGUGCAGUGUUUUGAUGACUGAGUCUGCAUUUUUGAGAAGAGGCCUUGGCUGUCUCUCUUACCAGUAGGACAUGAGAAAGCCUGAGAGUGCAAAGAGCUGAGGACCUUGGGAAGUGGAGCCUGGGAGGAUUAUGCAGGUUUUGCUGCAUCCCUAGCCAGCUGUAGGCUGUGAAAAGAAGUUCUUCCUUUAGUCCAGACAACUCCACUCAGGACAAAAAUGAUGGAAUUUGAGUCCUAAAAUUCAGUCGCACUGACAGGUCCCUUUGUGUGUCACAGGUGACCGAUUUGUUGAGUGCAGAGUAAUGUAUGUGCAGUCUUGAGUUUCUGCCCCCUCUCUCUAAGACAUUCUUGAACACCAGAAAUUUCCCUUGUGGCCCAGUGGGUGAAGGAUUCCCUUUUGUCACUGCGGCAUCUCGGGUGCUGUGGCAUGGAAUUUGAUACCUGGCCUAGGAACUUCCACAUGCUGCAGGCGUGGCCAAAAAGGAAAAAAAAAAAAA
RNAcentral lists this long non-coding RNA (5752 nucleotides) under Sus scrofa (pig). RNAcentral describes it as "lncRNA (ENSSSCG00030050270.1)". Lineage: Eukaryota; Metazoa; Chordata; Mammalia; Artiodactyla; Suidae. The record is from RNAcentral.